GCCGGGUGUGAUGGCACAUACCUGUAGUCCUAGCUACUUGGGAGGCUGAGGUGGGAGGACUGCUUGAGCCCAGGAGGUUGAGGCUGUAGUGCGCAAUGAUUAUGCCACUGCACUCCAGCCUGGGUGACAGGGCAAGACCCUGCCUCAA
RNAcentral lists this non-coding RNA (148 nucleotides) under Gorilla gorilla gorilla (western lowland gorilla). Lineage: Eukaryota; Metazoa; Chordata; Mammalia; Primates; Hominidae. The record is from Rfam by way of RNAcentral.